GGAAGCGGGGAUGACGUCAAGUCAGCAUGGCCUUUAUAUCCUGGGCUACACACACGCUACAAUGGUCUGUACAAUAGGUUGCCAAGCCGCGAGGCGGAGCCAAUCCUGAAAGCAGGCCUCAGUUCAGAUUGCAGUCUGCAACUCGACUGCAUGAAGCCGGAGUUGCUAGUAACCGCAGGUCAGCAAUACUGCGGUGAAUACGUUCCCGGGUCUU
This 214-nucleotide ribosomal RNA is filed under the name uncultured Anaerolineaceae bacterium. Its description in RNAcentral is "partial 16S ribosomal RNA". It matches the Rfam family "Bacterial small subunit ribosomal RNA", at positions 1169 to 1382 of the family's 1533-position model. Lineage: Bacteria; Bacillati; Chloroflexota; Anaerolineae; Anaerolineales; Anaerolineaceae. The record is from RNAcentral.